GAUGAACGCUGGCGGCGUGCCUAAUACAUGCAAGUCGAGCGAACGGACGAGAAGCUUGCUUCUCUGAUGUUAGCGGCGGACGGGUGAGUAACACGUGGAUAACCUACCUAUAAGACUGGGAUAACUUCGGGAAACCGUAGCUAAUACCGGAUAAUAUUUUGAACCGCAUGGUUCAAAAGUGAAAGACGGUCUUGCUGUCACUUAUAGAUGGAUCCGCGCUGCAUUAGCUAGUUGGUAAGGUAACGGCUUACCAAGGCAACGAUGCAUAGCCGACCUGAGAGGGUGAUCGGCCACACUGGAACUGAGACACGGUCCAGACUCCUACGGGAGGCAGCAGUAGGGAAUCUUGCGCAAUGGGCGAAAGCCUGACGGAGCAACGCCGCGUGGGUUAUGAAGGUCUUCGGAUCGUAAAACUCUGUUAUUAGGGAAGAAAAUAUGUGUAAGUAACUGUGCACAUCUUGACGGUACCUACUCAGAAAGCCACGGCUAACUACGUG
This 497-nucleotide ribosomal RNA is filed under the name uncultured bacterium. Its description in RNAcentral is "partial 16S ribosomal RNA". It matches the Rfam family "Bacterial small subunit ribosomal RNA", at positions 28 to 507 of the family's 1533-position model. The record is from RNAcentral.